UCCCAUUUUAUCUAAUGGAUAAAUUGAUGCAACUGUUUGGUUAUCGUGGAAGUGAGAUACCACAAGUGAAAGUCUGUGAUUGCUGCUAAAAGGAUGAACAAGUUGUACCACGAUCCCUGCAUCAACAAGUUACAAAAGGGAAGCAAAAACAAGUCAACUUUUUUGUGUACGUCGGGCAAGAGAUCGAAAUUUCAGUUUUACGAUAUCAACCACGGAAUAAAAUGGAUAACGACUUCAAAUAGCGUUUUGUCAACCUUACUUCUCACCCUGCAGUCCUUAUAUAAAGGGUGCACUUCCAUAUUUGUAAGGUACAAGCUAAUUAAAAGAUGGCAUCAUGAUUUAAAUACUUGUUUUAUAUAUUAUAAUAACAGCUUUUCCCCCAAAACUUGUGUCAAUAUAAUUGAAAAAUACAUUGGUGGAUUCCUAGCAGAAGCAAAGAAAAAAAAAUCACCAGGAGAUGUUUUCUCAACUUACUUAAGCCUGGGAGGCAAGAGUUACUUGGUACAUGUGUUGGUGGAAGUUAGCAAGUAGCCAGCUAGGUGCAUACAAGCUGGCCAGACACCAUGUGAAGGUACCAGACAAUGGUAACAUAAUAUACUAACCAGUUCAGAUACAUAUCCACUGGUCCUUUCACCUUGAGGCUCAUAAUUUUGAGCUUCACUUCAGCUCACUCUUUUGAUCCUUCGGUUUUUCAUUUUUAUCUGGAUGC
This 709-nucleotide long non-coding RNA is filed under the name Solanum lycopersicum (tomato). RNAcentral's name for it is "long non-coding RNA (SLYC_LNC001199)". Lineage: Eukaryota; Viridiplantae; Streptophyta; Magnoliopsida; Solanales; Solanaceae. The record is from RNAcentral.